AACGAACGCUGGCGGCAUGCCUAACACAUGCCAGUCGAACGAGACCUUCGGGUCUAGUGGCGCACGGGUGCGUAACGCGUGGGAACCUGCCCUUAGGUUCGGAAUAACUCCCCGAAAGGGGUGCUAAUUCCGGAUAAUGUCUUCGGACCAAAGGUUUAUCGCCUUUGGAUGGGCCCGCGUUGGAUUAGCUAGUUGGUAGGGUAAAAGCCUACCAAGGCGACGAUCCAUAGCUGGUCUGAGAGGAUGAUCAGCCACACUGGGACUGAGACACGGCCCAGACUCCUACGGGAGGCAGCAGUGGGGAAUAUUGGACAAGGGGCGAAAGCCUGAUCCAGCAAUGCCGCGUGAGUGAUGAAGGCCUUAGGGUUGUAAAGCUCUUUUACCCGGGAUGAUAAUGACAGUACCGGGAGAAUAAGCUCCGGCUAACUCCGUG
This 433-nucleotide ribosomal RNA is filed under the name uncultured bacterium. Its description in RNAcentral is "partial 16S ribosomal RNA". It matches the Rfam family "Bacterial small subunit ribosomal RNA", at positions 29 to 507 of the family's 1533-position model. The record is from RNAcentral.